This 222-nucleotide ribosomal RNA is filed under the name Salmonella enterica subsp. enterica serovar Paratyphi B. RNAcentral describes it as "partial 23S ribosomal RNA". It matches the Rfam family "Bacterial large subunit ribosomal RNA", at positions 1 to 214 of the family's 2925-position model. Lineage: Bacteria; Pseudomonadati; Pseudomonadota; Gammaproteobacteria; Enterobacterales; Enterobacteriaceae. The record is from RNAcentral.
GGGUUGUGAGGUUAAGCGACUAAGCGUACACGGUGGAUGCCCUGGCAGUCAGAGGCGAUGAAGGGCGUGCUAAUCUGCGAUAAGCGCCGGUAAGGUGAUAUGAACCGUUAUAACCGGCGAUACCCGAAUGGGGAAACCCAGUGUGAUUCGUCACACUAUCAUUAACUGAAUUCAUAGGUUAAUGAGGCGAACCGGGGGAACUGAAACAUCUAAGUACCCCGA